UGUCACCUCGCCACAACCUCCUUUCAAACAGUUGUAGAAAGCGAAGAAGUCCCCCCUGAGCCUCCUCUUCUCCGAACUGGAUGAUCCCAGUUCCUUCAACUGCUCCCACAAGUCUUAUGUGUGAGUAGAGGGAUAACCCUGUGAUUUUUCUGCAAAUUUUGAACUUUUAAUACAGUACAAACAUUUUUAAAAGAACCAUCUUUUGUAUACUCAAAACAACAGAUAGAGAUGAGAGGUGGAAACCCCAGAUUUAAAUACCAGCUUUCCCUCUUAGGGCUUUUUUAUGGAUUUGUUGUUUCUGUUUUUCUAUAGGGAAGAAUUACAAUCACAUUUUACUAAGGAAGCAAAGUGAGUGUGAAGAUAAAAUAAACGUGUUGACUGGAAUUGUGCCUGAGGGGCAGAUACUUUGUUGGAUGGUGGCAGGCAAUGCCCCAGGUCUCAGCCUGGUUAGUCACCAACAAGGAAUACUCAGCAUGCACGUCAUUCAAUUAGCAUUUGAGAAUAGUUUUCUGUAGUUAAUUUUCCAUCUUUUUCUCCAGAAAUAUUUACACCUAGUAAACAAUUCUUUUUUCCUUGCAUAAAUCUCUUGAUCUGUUGUUUUUUCUUCCCCUCACAAAAUGAGGGUUAUGUAAGUAUCACCACUUACAAACGUGCUCUUCACUCACCAAAAUGCAUAAUCUCAUUCGUAAUAAUGGAAAUUGAGUUUAUGCAUCAAAAAAGGAAGAGACCAUAAGUAAUGUAAUUACAGCCUGUUAUUAAUUCUAUCGAAGCAGAAAUGAUGAUAGCUUUUUCUUUUAACCAGAAGCUGUGUUUCUGUGUUACUACAGAGAUAAUAGAAGGUACAUUCUAUUUUUAUGAGAGUCGUAACUAUAAUAUUUAGACUCCCAGAAGUCCUUACAACUCAUGGAUAUUGUGCCACUGAUAAUGCAGAUUUGCUCAUUACUGGAUAUCUUUUCAGUCUAGUUUUUAAAGCCAUCAGGAAAUUUCUUGAUUUUCAAUUUAUACAUUUUGUUGUUGGUGUUGUUGUUGUUGCUUAGCUUUAUUGCUGGUUUUAGUAAUAUUUUUUAGUUUUCUUUAGCGCUUUUAUGCACUAUACUAAGGACAAUGUAACCCACUUAUGCUAUCAAUAAAUCUGUAUAUCAUUCUUAUAUUUCUAUUUCAAUCCUUCUGCUGCUUUUCAGAAAAUAUGCACUCCUGCUGUGAUUAGUUCAUGUGAUAUAAACCUCAGCCAUCAGAUGUGACUGCAGACAGCUCAGUUACCACAAGUCAGAUUUGAUUAAAAUGUGUGAUAGGAUUUUUUCUUCCUUUAUGGUUAAGUUAUCCAUGUGUGGUUUUUUUGUUUGUUUGUUUUGUUUUUACUUGCAGGACUCUUGGCUACCAGCUUAAUCUCUGAAAAAUAACUCAUAUGUCCAGGUAGUCAAAGCAGUAGGCUUGAUGAUACAGCUUGGGCGAGAAAAGAAGAUUUUGAGCACUGUCCUGCUUCAUGAGUAAGGCUCUACUGCCCCAAUCUUGAUAAAUGAUGAACUCCUGGAAUCAGCUGCCAAUUGUCAGUGUCCCUUCUGUCCAUGGAAGAGCAGGUUCCCAAGUGGGAGUGCUUUACACGUCCUAAUUACGAUUGUCUCAACUUUUCAGAUAAAAUGAAGUCAGUGAAGUGCUUACAAGGUCUUCAUCGUCUCUUACUGGAUGAGAUUGUUCUAGAUAUUAGUUUGUUUAUUCAUGUUUCUUUACUGUCCUGUUUCUCUGUAAUAGUUCAAAGACACUAAAGGAAUGGUUUACAAAGACACUUGGAGCUGCAAGUCGUUUGUGUAUCCAAACUAGUUUGGUUGUAUGUGUUGUUGUGGUGGAAGCCCAUGGUAAUGACUUGCUUUCAGUUAGAAACAACCUUUUAAAAGUUGGUCUUUCAUUUCACUUUCUGUCAGCUUCUAACAAUUACAAGUACAGCAGGCAUUAGAAUAACUUACUGAAUUGCUGGUAGUUGUGGGACAGAAUGCAUUGAGCAUAUGUCCUGGUGAGAACUGCCUGGAAUUGCUUACUCUGUCUUCUAUUUUUAAUUUACUUACCAUAGUUCUAUGACAGAUGUCAAGGUCCUUGCAGAAUUACAAAAUGCCAUUAGUUUUAGCAUUAUAUCCACUGCUCAGGACUCACUGACAAGGAACAAGGAAGACAAGUAAGCAACUGCAAGCUCAGACUGCUUAUCGUAAUGUACUGCUCCGAUGUGCUUCAGAACUACCCACUGUUCCACCAACAGCCACAGGUUAAGAGUGGGUUGCACACCCUGCUGUCUGUGGCGGAAUGUCCAUUGCGGUGACAUCAGCUACAGAGGGACAGCCAACGUCAGGACCCUCAAGAGUUCUGAGUCUUCUCAAAGUCAUGCAGUUAUGGAUUUGUUGUGGAGAUGAAAGCAACUGGAACUAUGAUCCACAGGAAAACAAAGCUGAGCAUCAAAGUGAAAACAUAAAGAGCUGCCUUACAAAUUUUGUGUAACAUAUUCGCUCACUGCGCUGUUGCACACGUCUGCCAAAACCCAGAGGACUCUACAAAAUGGAACCCCUGACAGCUGCUGCAAGAGGAGAUCUUUGGAAAGAGCUGGAAGGACGCUGGCAGUGGCUGUGCAAGCGUAUAGACUUUUGGAGUCUUCUUUCUGUCAGAGUAAGUAGAGAAAAGCAAGUGAUCUUUUCCCAGUGUCUGUUUUUCCUUGCAGUUUCCCCAUAUGCCACGUUCUGUGAAAAAAGUUGUCCUGGACGAGAUCCUUAUUGCCAUUUUUCACUGAAGAUGCAUCCUCAUGUAUUCCUCCCAGUUUAAUAAUUGAAUAAAAUCCUAAAUGAGAACUUGCUAGGUAACUCUGAGUACUACCCUGCAAGAGCCAUGAAACAGAUUCUUAACCCCGCAGGAUUUUGUAACUUCUUGAAGGAAAAAUCCAUGUACCGUCUUGUGCAGUGAGCUGGAGAGUUAGACAAAAGGACCUGUGAAUGGCACAUCUUCUGUGCUGGUCCCAGCGUGAGGCUUAUUUCUGGAGUUCACACCAGACACAGGUGGUGCCCAUCUUUAAGAAAAUAAGCGUGUAAUAAUCUCCUUCAUCAUGACUUUCUCUGAGAAAACUGUGUCACUGCACAGUCGAGUCACAUAGGCAAUUAUUGCCAUGCAGACUGCUUUAUAGCAAUGUGUAGGCUGCAUCCCAUGCCCUUAAUAGUCCUUUGCAGAGUGUUUUUAAAUAUACAACCAUUGCAGUCAUUGAGAUUUCUGUCUAUCUAUAGUUUUUAAUUACUCUGACGGUUAUGUAGCUUUAUUUUAAGACAAAAUUUUAUUAGCAUUUGGGAUAAUAUAGUAAGAUUUUCAUUUAUUGUUUUUUGUUGUUGACACGGUUUUGUUAAUCAAUGUCAUAA
Gallus gallus (chicken) is the source of this 3383-nucleotide long non-coding RNA. RefSeq lists it as uncharacterized. The record is from RefSeq and is a predicted model, not a curated record. NCBI's taxonomy places the organism in Eukaryota, Metazoa, Chordata, Aves, Galliformes, Phasianidae. The transcript is spliced from 3 exons.